This is a long non-coding RNA of Astyanax mexicanus (Mexican tetra), 9784 nucleotides long. RefSeq lists it as uncharacterized. The transcript has 2 exons. The record is from RefSeq and is a predicted model, not a curated record. NCBI's taxonomy places the organism in Eukaryota, Metazoa, Chordata, Actinopteri, Characiformes, Acestrorhamphidae.
UAAACAUAAAUAUAAAUCCUUAUAACUGACAGAAAUAAAUAUAACUAAUAAUAAUUUAUAGUUACUGUGCAGAUUUUUAAGUAUAUUUUAUUUUUAUAGUUGAUUGCUGAAGGCUCUGGGUGAGCUUUAUUUUUCUGUGGUAAAGAAGGGGGAUCAAUCGCGCAAAGCUUUUUUCCACCGCCAAGGUAGAAACUUAUAAAUUUACCUGAACACACAUCAUUUCCAGACCACCACGCCAAUCACCGUUAAAUUUAUCCAAAUGUCCAACGCUAUUUUAAGGACGCGUGAAAUGCCUUAAAAUAGACUGUUGACGGGUGGCAACGCGCCACGCUACACGCCUUGCACGGGGUGUAUGAUAGGACCCUUUGUCUAUAUGCAAAAAGUAAAAAAAAAAAGUUAAUUCAGCUGCUAAAGUAAAGUGCAGUAACGGGGUGUCGGAAAUGGUAACGGCGUUAUAGUUACAGUCAGAGUAAUUAGUUAGAUUACUCGUUACUAAAAAAAUAACGGCGUUAGUAACGUUGUUUAUUAUAAAGCCGUUACUACCAUCACUGCUAAUAAUACAGCUGAGCUGAGCGAAACGAUUCGGGGCUACUGAAAGCCCAGGCCAGGUGACGCCCCUGUGUAUUAUCAUACAUGAACAAACAGCUCUUACAGAAAAUAACGACUAAUUUUCCGGCAUUGAUUUGGUGCCUCCUCUAGUGCAGCGCCCCUAUGCGUCGCAUACGCUGCAUACCCCCUUUUUGCGCCACAGACUAAUUCUCUUAAUUAAUCAUGGGUGUAUUUUUUCAGUGUGACAUGAAAUCAGCGUGUCAUGUGCCAUUUCCUUUAAGAUCCAGGUGUGCUCAAACUUUGGUGGAUUGCUAUUUUAAUGGUGCAGCCAGAAAUUGACCUAAACACACCUCAUUUCCAGACCGUUGCUAUUUAAACGAUGUCAACGAUUGUUGGCAAUGUGUAAGAAAGCAAUAAGCAUCGCAACACGCCAUGCACAGGGUGUGAGACAAGGUCCCUAAAUUGUACUUAUACUUACCGGCCACUUUAUUGUAAAAACCUGUAAUCCUGUACUUCUACGAACUGGCCAAUUUAUUAGAAACACAUGCUUAAACAAAGUUUCAACACACACACACACCAGUGAAGUAACACUUUAAAUUUAGGUCACAAUAUAUUGGAUAGGCUGAAAAUUCCCCCCCACCAUGAAAGAUACAUCAAACAUGUUAGCAGAGGGACAAAAAUACAGUAGGUGUUUCUAAUAAAGUGGCCAGUGAGUAGAGGGACAAACAUUUUAGUAGGUGUUUCUAAUAAAGUGGCCAAUUAGUAGAGGAACAAAGGUACAGUGGGUGUUUCUAAUUAAGUGGCCAGUUAGUAGAGGGACAAAGGUAGUAGUAGAUGUUUCUAAUAAAGUGGCCAGUGAGUAGUAGGACAAAUGUAGUAAUAGGUGUUUCUAAUAAAGUGGCCAGUGAGUAGAGGGACAAACGUAGUAGUAGGUGUUUCUAAUAAAGUGGCCAGUGAGUAGAGGGACAAACAUAGUAGUAGGUGUUUCUAAUAAAGUGGCCAGUGAGUAGUAGGACAAAUGUAGUAAUAGGUGUUUCUAAUAAAGUGGCCAGUGAGUAGAGGGACAAACGUAGUAGUAGGUGUUUCUAAUAAAGUGGCCAGUGAGUAGAGGGACAAACAUAGUAGUAGGUGUUUCUAAUAAAGUGGCCAGUGAGUAGUAGGACAAAUGUAGUAAUAGGUGUUUCUAAUAAAGUGGCCAGUGAGUAGAGGAACAAAGAUACAGUAGGUGUUUCUAAUAAAUUGGCCAAUUAGUAAAGGAACAAAGGUACAGUAGGUGUUUCUAAUAAAGUGGCCAGUGAGUUGAGGAAGAACCCCACCCUCAGUGAGAGCAGUAGGUGUAAGGAUGGCUGUGGAACAGCAGGAAGUUGUGUGAGUUCACCUGAGCUAAAAUUACACCUGCCUCCAUACAAAACAGCCAAGUAGGUUACGGACAUCAGCAUUGAGAAGCUGAACAAUAAGAACAGGCGCAGGCUUUGUAGCGCUGCACGCAGAACCCGGGGGGAAACGGAACCACUUCUGAAACAGUCAGGAAUAAUUCAUUAAUUAAUUUACCAUCAAUAAAUAAUGAACGCCGCUCUCAAAGACGAGCUGCAGCCCAUCAGUGUCCAGAGCUGCAGCCUGAUAAAGCUGAUCAGAUCCUGCAGUAUUAAAUAAACAUUCAUUACCAGAUCAUUUUAAUAAUCUACUGCUUGUUAUAGAGAGUGUGUGUGUGUGUGUGUGUAUUGACUUGGACUCUAAAUUGUGAGCUAAUAACUAUAAGUACUUAAAUACAUAAGUUUUAAUCUUGUACCUUAAAUUGCAUUUACUUUCAAUUAAAGUCAAUGUAAAACAAUUUUAGGUAAUUUUGAUUAAAGUCUAAUUAGGCCUGUCACGAUAAUUACAUUAUGGGUUUAUCAUACAAUAAAUUAACAUAAUCUCGGUAAUAUUUGAUAAUAGUUAUAUGGUCUAUUUGUAUGUUUGUUCACAUACAGCUCUGAUAAAAAAUAAGAGACCAUUUAAAAAUUAUGAUGAGUUUCUUUGAUUUUACCAAAUUGAAAACCUCUGGAAUAUAAUCAAGAGGAAGAUGGAUGAUCACAAGCCUUCAAACCAAACUGAACUGCUUAAAUUUUUGCACCAGGAGUAAAGCAGCAUAAAGUUAUCCAAAAUACUGGACAAAAAAAAGUGUGUAAGACUGGUGGAGGAGAGCAUGCCAAGAUGCAUAAAAACUGUGAUUAAAAACCAGGGUUAUUCCAAUAAAUAUUGAUUUCUGACAUUUUAAAACUUUAUGAAUAUUAACUUGUUUUUUUUUUUGCAUUGAGUUUUUUUUUUUUUUUUGCUAUUUCAGCGAUUUCUAAUUUUCUCCAAAUAAAUUUUCUAAAUGUUGUUUAUAGACUUUUUUUAGAAUAAAAUAACAAUGUUCAUUUUACUCAAACAUAAAUCUAUGAAUAGCAAAAUCAGAGAAACUGAUUCAGAAACUGAAGUGACCUCCUAAUUUUUUCCAGAGCUGUAUAUUAAUAAUUAUCAUGACAGGUCUAUUUCUAUUGGACUAUUCAUUAUGAAAUUAUGAAAAGUAUAAAAAGUCACUAUAUCUUUUAAAUUAUGCAGAUUAUCACAAAAGAACUGAUCAGAAGUGACCGUAUGCGCUUAUAUUCUACAAUAUAUAAAAGGUGCCUGAUUGUUUAAGCCUCAAAUAUGUCUAAAAUGUAAAUAUAUACAUCUCAACCUGCCAAACAAACCCAGGACGUGACAGUGAACCUCCACUUAAGCCUCAAAUGAAUUCCAGUCCGUGUGCUGGAGUAGCGCUACCAACUAAACCUGAACAGCAGCUCAACAGCGUGCAGAUCUUACAGACUAUCUAACUGUGACUGUGAGCAGAGUCAUGACGGGUCUCAGAGCAAUGUAAUAUAGUAACAUAAUAAUAAACAGAACUUAUAACAGUAUAAAAACCAAUGGUACACAAUAUGUGUUGUUUAAAUGACUGUAAUUUAUGAUAGAAUAAGGGUACUUUCUUUUAUGACUUAGCGUAAGGGAUACUUUUAUUUUUCUUUUAUUUUCCUGGAGCAUAAACUGUUCCUCAAUCUUAGUUUAGUAGGGAAUAUUUUGGGGCGAAAAUGAUAUUUUAGAUUUAUAAGGAAGCUUACAAGGACCAUGUGUUGACCACAUGUCGAAAAAAACAACAAAAGAAAAAGACGUUAUUACCUAAAAAGAUAUUAAAAUAUUAGAAUUUCAGUUUACACGUUAAUAAAUAUAUUUAAAGUAAAGAUUCCCUCAGUUUUAAUACAUUUUAAUAAAUAAAUAUGUACAGUACAGUAUAUACAUAUACAUAUAUGUACAGUACCAGUCAAAAUUUAGACACACCUUCAUUCAAAUUCAGUGUUUUUUUGUUUUUCAUUAUUUUAAAUUGUUCUGUGUUGUAGAUUAAUACCAAAUCAUCCAAACUAUAAAGAAAAACACUUAUGAAAUUAUUCCGUAAACAUAAAAAGUGUUAAACAAACCAGAAUACGUUUUAUUUUUUAGAUUCAUAAAAAAAAGUAGCACCUCUUGCUUAGAUUAGACAGUUUUGCACAUCUCUGAUGGAUUUUCUCAGUCGGCUUUAUGAGGUAGAGUCAGUUGGAAUUCAGGCUUUCAGUUAACAGCUGUGCUGCUGCACUCAUCAAGAGUUAAUUACUUGAAGUUCUUGUCUCUUAAUGUUAAUGUUUGAGAGCAUCAGUUGUAAAGGUGUGAAGAGGUAGAGUUACAGGUAUACAGUGAAUAGCUCUAUUUUAUUAAUGUUCUAAUCCAUCCGUCUAAAAAGCGCUGCCACUAUGAUCAGAAGAUCGCCGGUUCGAAUCCCGAUCAUGCAGCUUGCCAUCAGCUACCGGAGCCCUGAGAGAGGACAAUUGGCUUUGCUCUCUCUGGGUGGGUGCAGUAGGUGGCGCUCUUUCCCCUCAUCACUCCAAAGGGGGAUGUCGAUCAGCACAAGGCUGCAUCUGUGAGCUGAUGUAUCAGAAUCGAGUCGCUGCGAUUUCCUCCGAGCGUUAGUGCUGUAAUGCUACUCGGCAAUGCUGCAUCAGCAGCAGUUGGAAAAGAGGAGGUGGCUGACUUCACAUGUGUCGGAGGAGGCAUGUGCUAGUUAGUCUUCACCCUCCUGGUGUGUUGGGGCAUCACUAGUGAUACUUUGAGUCCUAAUGAGUGGGUUGAGUAAUGAGUGGCUGUGUAAAUUGGGUAGAAAAUGGGGAAAAAAAUAACAUGAUGAAUGAAAAAUGAUAAAACGGGGCGCCGAGUGGUCCAGCGGUCUAAGGCGCUGCCACUAUGAGCAGGAGGUCACAGGUUCGAACCCCAGCUCAUGCAGCUUCGCCAUCAAGCUGCCGGCAUCAGAGGGAGCAAAAUUGGCCCUGCUCCCUCCGGGUGGGUAGAUGGCGCUCUCUCCCCACAUCACACUCCUAGGGUAAUGUCUGCUGCACAGGGCAUCUGUGAGCUGAUGUACCGGAGCCGAGCCGCUGUGCUUUUCUCCGAGUGCGCUGUGAUGCUGCUCGGCAAUGCUGCAUCAGCAGCAGCUCGAAAAGAAGCAGUGGCUGACUUCACAUGUAUCGGAGGAAACAUGUGCUAGUCUUCACCCUCCUGGUGUGUUGUGGCAUUACUAGUGAUAGGGGGAGUCCUAAUGAGUGGGUUGGGUAAUUGGCCGUGUAAAUUGGGGAGAAAAAUGGGAAAAAUUAGAAAUAAAAUUAUAUAAAAAAAAAAAAAGAAAAAUGAUAAAACUGGCACUCAUCAGGACCGUAAGUUACCAGCCUCAGAAACCGCAAGUUAACUACACCUCAGAUAAGAGCUACCUAAAUGCUUUACAGAGUAUUUUGGUUUGUUUAACACUUUUCCAUGUAGUUACGACAUGAAAAAAAAAAAGAAAAUAAAAACAUUGAAUAAAAAGUUUCAAUAAUUUUGUUUUUCUGGUACUGUAUAUAUAAGUUAUAUGCUAGUGAAGGUGGUCUAGCCCAUCUUAAAUCUUAGUAAUUUCCCAAAAAGUAAGAUACGGAACUGUACUGUACCCUUAUUAACCUAAAGCACAAUGAAACUGUGGUCAGGAGGAUGAUGUACUCCUUCAGUUUACAAGUCUUUAACUGGUAUCUUAGUAAUGAAACUUGUCAUGUGACUUUAUGACUGUGUGUAACUCUAUGCAUCUAAACUCGUCUCACCAUUAGUCACAACGAUUACUCUUAACUUAGUACCCCAAAUGAGUACUUCAGUACUCCAGUACUCUGGUACUCCAUUACUUAAGUAUGUACGGAGAGUACUGUUACUUUUCUUAGUAUGGUCUACUUUUAUCUUAGUAUCUCUGGGUUAGGGCUGCACGAUAUUGGAAAAAAAAUACAUUGCAAAUGUUCUUUUUUCGUCGAUAUAUAUUGCGAUAUUAAACAAUGCAGGGCCCGUGAAGUCACCAGCCCCGCCCCCACAAGCGCACUGUCAGCACCAAGCACUCAAAACCCAAGGAAAACAGCAAAACAACAGUAAUUGGCCCUUUAAUCAGGCAUUUAAAUGGAUUUUUAAAAGGUAAAUAAGAGCGUUUGUUUUUUGGGAUUAAAAGCGUGAAUUCAGCUGUAACUGGAAAUAUCUGUGUUGCAAAACUGUGCUGGACUGAGGUGCACAGCUUUCAACACAUGCGUUUACAAGCACGUGUCCAACCAUGUGGAUGGAGGCCAUGCGGUUACCUCGUGUUUACUCCUGCCCCCCCCUCGCGCUUAAAAAAAAUAAAAAGACAGAUUUUAUCACAUUUUUCAUAUUUGAAAAUGUACAGUAUUACAGCUCACAAUAAAUAUCAGUUUACAGUUUACAGUUUUCAAAUUUGUUGACAGUGACAUAACUUGACUGUGGCAAAUUUUAUGUCAAAUUGUCAAAAAUUCAAAUAUAUUCAUCAAAUUUUUAGUUAAGUUAUUUGCUUUUAAGCAAAAUGUUUGAAAAAUUGAAUUUAGUGACAAUAAUUUGACAGAUCAAAUUUGUAAUAAUUUUAAAUAAAGUUGGGAAUUUUGCUACAAUUAAUUGCUAAAAUAUUUUUUUUCUUUCAAAAGAAAGAUGCUGAAUCUAUAGAAUGGAAAGAAUUAGACAUUCGAAACUUCAGUUUUUUUCUUGGUCAAAUGAAUCAAAAUAUAUUAGAAUUUACCCAUUGUCUGUUUGAUUUUGUACUGACGAUUGUCAAAAUACCCCUCAAGCUCCUCAGGCAGCAGCAGCCUGUCACUCACACAGACACAGAGACAGCGCUGUGUAUCUACUUACUUCUUGUGUCAAGAAUCAAAACACUGCAACAUGACGUGUUUGAUUUAAAUGCCUUAAUUGACAUCCCACGUCCUGCGAUGUGAGUAUUGUGCAUGCUCACAUCGCGAUUAUGAUGCUUAAGCGAUAUAUCGUGCAGCCCUAAUCUGGCUACUCUUAUGCAGGUAUACAAAAGCAGUGGUGAAUCUUAGUAAUUCUGACGUACAAUCCUCGCCCUUGUGACAAUGGUGAGAUUGAGUAUUCUUCUUAGUAUCUACUUUAAUCUCAAGUAUUAAUAUUUAUCUCAAAAAGAAUGCUUGUUUAUUAGUACUUACUCUCUUAGUAACCCCGACGAGUACUCAAAUCACAGUGCCUAUCACAAGUAUUCUUGCACAAGCAUCUUUACUGUUCUUACAUCACAUUAAAUUACAUAACAUCACAUUACUCCAGUCGAGUGUUACCGUUUAUUAGCCUUGUUUCUUUCUAAACUCAGAUUGUCAGCGGUGUUUAUGUGGCCUUCAUGUGCAGUACUGGUGCUUUAAUUAUAUGUAAAAUGAUCCAACAUGUACAUUUUAUUUAAUUUUAUUUUACUUUUAGUUUUUUUUUCUCUCUAUGGUGUCAGUUAAAAUCUUUAGGAUGUAUGAAUUUUCAUUUUUAAUCUUUGUGUCCAAGAUGUAUAUUCUUUAAAAUGGGAAAUACUGGAAACCUAUAGGUUUAUAAUUAUACAAAACAUGAAUUAUGUUUGAACUUUUGCCAAAAUAAAUUUAAUUAACUAGAAGAAGAACAAAUUAACUAAAGUUAAUUUAUAAAUGAAAUCUUCCUUUACCUUCUAUGGUGCCCAAUUGUAGCACAAACAAAACUGUAAAUUAUAAAAAUUAUAACAAAACGUUUUUUUUUUUUUUUUUCAUUUUUUGUUUCGUUUUCCUCUUAAAAAUAUAUUUUUCUAAAACAUGGUUUAAUGGAAUCUGUCUACUGGAAAAUACUUGGUUUUAUCAUUGUCAUUAUAUUGUUAUAUCAUAUUCCCGAAAUAGUUGUAUUUUUCACAUUGCUUUACUACAUUCUUUAAUAAUAAAAAAAAGAUUUGUUUUUUCUUCAUGGUGCUAAAUCUGUAAAAAAGAAAAACAAUUAGAAAAAAGCAACAACAGAUUUUAUCAUAUUUUGUUUUUCAGGUCUGAAAAUGUACAAUAUUUCAGCUCACAAUAAAUUGUCAGUUGAUUUAAGUAUUUAUUUUUUAAUCUUUACAAUGAGGUAAAUUAACGUUUAAUAUUUAAAUUCUGUUUUUCUUAAUGGAACAUUUAACAGAAUAUCAGUUUACUUUGGUUUACAUUCAAGUUUUCUAAUUUGUAGACAAUGAAAAACUGACUAAUAAUUUAAUUUUAUGCUAAAUUUUCUAAUUAGAAUUUUCUUUGUUUUUCAUUCUAAAAAUGUAAAUAUUCAUCAAAUUGUCAAUUGAUUAGUUUGUUAGAAGUUAUUUGUUUUCAAGCAAAGUGUUUCAGUUUAUAUUUAAGUUCUUGAAUUUAGUGACAAUAACUUGACAGAUUAAAUUUUAAUUCCUAAGAUAUUUUUUUUUCUUUCAAAAGAAAGAGGCUGAUAUUUAGAAUAAAAGAAAUUAGAAAUUGGAAACCUUAGAUCUAGGAAAUGUAGUUUUUUUUCUUUGGUCUACAACGAAUCAAAAUAUACUGCUAGAAUUUACCCAUUAUUUUUUAAUGUCAGCAAAAUGUUUUGUUCUUUGUCUGUUUAAUUUUGUAUUGAUAAUUGGUAAAAUGAUAUAGGAAAUAUUGGCAGUUUUUGAAUUUUUGAAAAAGAGGGAAAUUUGCACUGUAAAAUAUGUAACAUAAUAUUUAUAAAAAAAUCUUGUCUUUUUUCUUUUUAAAGUCAAAUAGAAAAUUGAAAUCUAAUGAAAUACAAAAUUUACUGAAAAAGGCUGAAAUAUUGGACGUUUACAGAUUAUAUCAUUACACUUACCUUAAUUACAGUUCUGUCAAAUUAUAUACAUCAACAGCAUCAAAUUUACAUUGAAGUAAAAAUUGAGAUGAAAAUCUUUCCUGUGUAAAAACAUUUUUUAUAUUAAUUGUGUACUAGAGUGAUUGAGUUACUGCACUUUGCUUUGUAUUAUUUUGGAGGAUUUGCACUUUAUUUGAGUAUAAUUGAAACUAAAUGCAUUUUUUGGUGAAGUUUGGAUUGGUGAAAUACAUUCUUCUCAUUAUUAUAUUUUGGUGUUGUAGUUCAGGAGACUUCUUAGCACCUUAUAAGGAGAUUUUUUUUGUCUCUUGUCUUUUGAAGUUUUUUUAUUUGUCUCUUUACUAAUUUGUCUUUUUACUUUAUAGACUUGAACUUGUUUAAAUGUGAAUACUUUUGUACUUUCAUUCAGUGAUAUUUUUGACAUGAACUUUGAAUAUUGACUGAAGUCAAUUUAUUUUCCAUCCGUCCUCAUGAGCAACGAAUACUUUACAGCAGUUCUGUUGAUUGAGUACUAUCUAGGGUUGUACGAUGAGGGCUCUGAUUUAAGUAUAUUUGAUCAAUAAUCCUUUUUUUUAACACUUCUGAUGAGUACUUCUCUUAGUGUUUACAGAUACUGUCUCAGUACUUGGAGAAAUACUCUAAGCUUAGUAAUGAACACUGUCUCAUGGUGGUGUAGUGCUGAACCUGGACUUACCGGUAAGAAAUGCUUUUUGUAAUUAAGAACAAAAAGAAACAGGAUCACGGUGAGUACGGUUCAGGUCAUAACGUCACAACUGGGAAACUUGUGAUAUUUCAUACUGCAGAAGAAUGUGCAUGAACUUUUCAUUUUUAUAACUCAUGAAAAACGACAACAAUGCAGACUCUGGAGGGAGGGGCGCGGUGGGAGUGACCUGACCGGUUGCUGCAUGUUUGAUGGAAUACGUGGCGAAAAGGACAAGAGAUACUAAACAAAAAAAAAAAAAACACAAAACACUAAACAUUGUAUUGCUGUGACUUGUUUUAAACUCUUCCAUCCUUUGGGAAGACUGCUGGUGUAAACUUUUACAUGUUAAUAAAAACUUUUAUUUUCAAGAUA